This 432-nucleotide ribosomal RNA is filed under the name uncultured bacterium. RNAcentral's name for it is "partial 16S ribosomal RNA". It matches the Rfam family "Bacterial small subunit ribosomal RNA", at positions 29 to 507 of the family's 1533-position model. The record is from RNAcentral.
ACGAACGCUGGCGGCAUGCCUAACACAUGCAAGUCGAACGAGACCUUCGGGUCUAGUGGCGCACGGGUGCGUAACGCGUGGGAACCUGCCCUUAGGUUCGGAAUAACUCCCCGAAAGGGGUGCUAAUACCGGAUAAUGUCUUCGGACCAAAGAUUUAUCGCCUUUGGAUGGGCCCGCGUUGGAUUAGCUAGUUGGUAGGGUAAAAGCCUACCAAGGCGACGAUCCAUAGCUGGUCUGAGAGGAUGAUCAGCCACACUGGGACUGAGACACGGCCCAGACUCCUACGGGAGGCAGCAGUGGGGAAUAUUGGACAAUGGGCGAAAGCCUGAUCCAGCAAUGCCGCGUGAGCGAUGAAGGCCUUAGGGUUGUAAAGCUCUUUUACCCGGGAUGAUAAUGACAGUACCGGGAGAAUAAGCUCCGGCUAACUCCGUG